GCGGGUAUAGUAUAAUGGCUAUUAUUGCAGCCUUCCAAGCUGAGGAUCGGAGUUCGAAUCUCCGUACCCGCUCCA
This 75-nucleotide transfer RNA is filed under the name Porticoccaceae bacterium. RNAcentral's name for it is "tRNA-Gly". It matches the Rfam family "tRNA". Rfam says of the family: Transfer RNA (tRNA) molecules are approximately 80 nucleotides in length. Their secondary structure includes four short double-helical elements and three loops (D, anti-codon, and T loops). Lineage: Bacteria; Pseudomonadati; Pseudomonadota; Gammaproteobacteria; Cellvibrionales; Porticoccaceae. The record is from RNAcentral.